GGGUUGUGAGGUUAAGCGACUAAGCGUACACGGUGGAUGCCCUGGCAGUCAGAGGCGAUGAAGGGCGUGCUAAUCUGCGAUAAGCGCCGGUAAGGUGAUAUGAACCGUUAUAACCGGCGAUACCCGAAUGGGGAAACCCAGUGUGAUUCGUCACACUAUCAUUAACUGAAUCCAUAGGUUAAUGAGGCGAACCGGGGGAACUGAAACAUCUAAGUACCCCGAGGAAAAGAAAUCAACCGAGAUUCCCCCAGUAGCGGCGAGCGAACGGGGAGGAGCCCAGAGCCUGAAUCAGCAUGUGUGUUAGUGGAAGCGUCUGGAAAGGCGCGCGAUACAGGGUGACAGCCCCGUACACAAAAGCGCAUGUGCUGUGAGCUCGAUGAGUAGGGCGGGACACGUGGUAUCCUGUCUGAAUAUGGGGGGACCAUCCUCCAAGGCUAAAUACUCCUGACUGACCGAUAGUGAACCAGUACCGUGAGGGAAAGGCGAAAAGAACCCCGGCGAGGGGAGUGAAAAAGAACCUGAAACCGUGUACGUACAAGCAGUGGGAGCACAGGUUUACCUGUGUGACUGCGUACCUUUUGUAUAAUGGGUCAGCGACUUAUAUUCUGUAGCAAGGUUAACCGUAUAGGGGAGCCGGAGGGAAACCGAGUCUUAAUUGGGCGUUAAGUUGCAGGGUAUAGACCCGAAACCCGGUGAUCUAGCCAUGGGCAGGUUGAAGGUUGGGUAACACUAACUGGAGGACCGAACCGACUAAUGUUGAAAAAUUAGCGGAUGACCUGUGGCUGGGGGUGAAAGGCCAAUCAAACCGGGAGAUAGCUGGUUCUCCCCGAAAGCUAUUUAGGUAGCGCCUCGUGAAUUCAUCUCCGGGGGUAGAGCACUGUUUCGGCUAGGGGGCCAUCCCGGCUUACCAACCCGAUGCAAACUGCGAAUACCGGAGAAUGUUAUCACGGGAGACACACGGCGGGUGCUAACGUCCGUCGUGAAGAGGGAAACAACCCAGACCGCCAGCUAAGGUCCCAAAGUCAUGGUUAAGUGGGAAACGAUGUGGGAAGGCCCAGACAGCCAGGAUGUUGGCUUAGAAGCAGCCAUCAUUUAAAGAAAGCGUAAUAGCUCACUGGUCGAGUCGGCCUGCGCGGAAGAUGUAACGGGGCUAAACCAUGCACCGAAGCUGCGGCAGCGACGCUUAUGCGUUGUUGGGUAGGGGAGCGUUCUGUAAGCCUGUGAAGGUGUGUCGUGAGGCAUGCUGGAGGUAUCAGAAGUGCGAAUGCUGACAUAAGUAACGAUAAAGCGGGUGAAAAGCCCGCUCGCCGGAAGACCAAGGGUUCCUGUCCAACGUUAAUCGGGGCAGGGUGAGUCGACCCCUAAGGCGAGGCCGAAAGGCGUAGUCGAUGGGAAACGGGUUAAUAUUCCCGUACUUGGUGUUACUGCGAAGGGGGGACGGAGAAGGCUAUGUUGGCCGGGCGACGGUUGUCCCGGUUUAAGCGUGUAGGUGUGUGUUCCAGGUAAAUCCGGUUCACUUUAACACUGAGGCGUGACGACGAGGCACUACGGUGCUGAAGCAACAAAUGCCCUGCUUCCAGGAAAAGCCUCUAAGCAUCAGGUAACAUCAAAUCGUACCCCAAACCGACACAGGUGGUCAGGUAGAGAAUACCAAGGCGCUUGAGAGAACUCGGGUGAAGGAACUAGGCAAAAUGGUGCCGUAACUUCGGGAGAAGGCACGCUGACACGUAGGUGAAGUGAUUUACUCAUGGAGCUGAAGUCAGUCGAAGAUACCAGCUGGCUGCAACUGUUUAUUAAAAACACAGCACUGUGCAAACACGAAAGUGGACGUAUACGGUGUGACGCCUGCCCGGUGCCGGAAGGUUAAUUGAUGGGGUCAGCGCAAGCGAAGCUCCUGAUCGAAGCCCCGGUAAACGGCGGCCGUAACUAUAACGGUCCUAAGGUAGCGAAAUUCCUUGUCGGGUAAGUUCCGACCUGCACGAAUGGCGUAAUGAUGGCCAGGCUGUCUCCACCCGAGACUCAGUGAAAUUGAACUCGCUGUGAAGAUGCAGUGUACCCGCGGCAAGACGGAAAGACCCCGUGAACCUUUACUAUAGCUUGACACUGAACAUUGAGCCUUGAUGUGUAGGAUAGGUGGGAGGCUUUGAAGUGUGGACGCCAGUCUGCAUGGAGCCGACCUUGAAAUACCACCCUUUAAUGUUUGAUGUUCUAACGUGGACCCGUAAUCCGGGUUGCGGACAGUGUCUGGUGGGUAGUUUGACUGGGGCGGUCUCCUCCUAAAGAGUAACGGAGGAGCACGAAGGUUGGCUAAUCCUGGUCGGACAUCAGGAGGUUAGUGCAAUGGCAUAAGC
This 2351-nucleotide ribosomal RNA is filed under the name Salmonella enterica subsp. enterica serovar Paratyphi B var. L(+) tartrate +. RNAcentral describes it as "partial 23S ribosomal RNA". It matches the Rfam family "Bacterial large subunit ribosomal RNA", at positions 1 to 2364 of the family's 2925-position model. Lineage: Bacteria; Pseudomonadati; Pseudomonadota; Gammaproteobacteria; Enterobacterales; Enterobacteriaceae. The record is from RNAcentral.